UACGUAGGGUGCAAGCGUUAUCCGGAAUUAUUGGGCGUAAAGAGCUCGUAGGCGGUUUGUCGCGUCUGCUGUGAAAACUGGAGGCUCAACCUCCAGCCUGCAGUGGGUACGGGCAGACUAGAGUGCGGUAGGGGGAGAUUGGAAUUCCUGGUGUAGCGGUGGAAUGCGCAGAUAUCAGGAGGAACACCGAUGGCGAAGGCAGAUCUCUGGGCCGUAACUGACGCUGAGGAGCGAAAGCAUGGGGAGCGAACAGG
This 254-nucleotide ribosomal RNA is filed under the name uncultured bacterium. Its description in RNAcentral is "partial 16S ribosomal RNA". It matches the Rfam family "Bacterial small subunit ribosomal RNA", at positions 524 to 776 of the family's 1533-position model. The record is from RNAcentral.